Molecule: long non-coding RNA, 1086 nt
Organism: Esox lucius (northern pike)
Lineage: Eukaryota; Metazoa; Chordata; Actinopteri; Esociformes; Esocidae
Exons: 3
Source: RefSeq, a predicted model, not a curated record
AUAGAGCAUAUGCUGUCAAUAGGGGGAAAUACUGCAGACUACUCAGUGUCUGGGUGCCCCCUAGCGUAUGAAUGCUUUCUGCCAAAUCGAGAUUCAAUUCGGAGGAGCCUUCUGACAUGGAAACUGCCUCCGUCCCUUGUCUCUUACAUUGACCAAAGUAACGUGCGUCCAUUUCUAACUGAUUCAUGUUUUAGAAAAUGUCUUCUAAUUGACUUGGACGUCGUCGAGGUAUCCUUGUUGGUCUAUUUUGUCUCUUCAUAUAAGCUGUCCUGAAAUCCCUGUGCCUGCGGAGCUCUUAAAGGACAGGGAUGUUUUUUAUUUGUCGCUUAAUCAUUGAUUGAUAUAUUAAUUGGAUUUUAGAUUAAAAACAUUUUCUCCGUCAUUCUAAAGUAAAUGUAGGGUUUAAAUAAUAUCUUCAGUCUUCAGUUUAUCAUAUUGUUUUAUUGUGGAUUGUACUUGAAAAUUCCAUUGAAGGUCAUCACGGAAAUCCUGCUUUGGCCUACAACUUAUCGUGUUAAAUCAGAUGAAGCCAACAUGGAAAAUGAUUCUUAAAAAAAUAAUACGGAGUUAAAGGCCUGGCAGAGUGGUGCAAACAUCCUCUCCCUCACUGGAAAAAAUCAAGAGCACUUCUUCAAUCUAUAUUUUGCGUGUCCCAGAGGACUCUCACAAACGUCCACAGAUGCACCAUCAAGAGCAUACUCUCAGGCUGCAUCACCACCUGCCGAAAAUCAUAUGGAUCUUCAGAAACUGGUGAGAUUAGCCCAACACACCAUCGUGGGCACAAGGCCUGCCCUCCAGGACAUUUACUCCACACGGUGUUGUAGAAAGUCCACACAGUUGAUCAUGGUCCUCAGCCACCCAAUCGAUAAGCUGUUCACGUUGCUACUAGUAGACACAGACAGGUCAGUAACAUCACAACCAGGGUUGAGAGUCUGAAAAAAACUUUCUUCCCUCAGGCUAUCAAACUGCCCAUUUACACACUCACACAUUCUAUGAAAAGCUCUAGUCAGGAUAUGAUAGUUAAUACGUAUGGAGUGAUGCUACAGAAAUGUAACAAUUGUUACAAUAAAGCAAACUGUAUAUGAA